RNAcentral lists this small RNA (546 nucleotides) under Pongo abelii (Sumatran orangutan). Its description in RNAcentral is "processed transcript". Lineage: Eukaryota; Metazoa; Chordata; Mammalia; Primates; Hominidae. The record is from RNAcentral.
GACCCUUCCCUCGCGGGCCGCUCCCCGCCGCGGACACCACCGCGACCCGGCUGCGACCUCCCGACCCCGGCCGGGCGUCCGGGGCUCCUGCGCACUCACUCGGCAGCCGCGCCCGCUUGCGUCCUCUUGUUCUCUUCCAGCUAUUUAAUUCAGGACGCUCAUCCAGACUUCUGAAGCAAAAAGCCAAUCAGCAUGAAGCUGCUAGCAUAUUGGUUUUGUGAAGGCCUGUCGGGAAGCCUCUGGUUUCUUUUCAUCCCUGAGGACUGAGGAGGAGGCCUCUUCAGGAAGAGCAGUUUAUUUUUAUGAAAGGGAUACUUCCUGAUUUCAAACAUUUGGAACUAAACUGGAACAUAUUUUUCUUUCCGAUUUCUGCGUUUUUGAGGCACCCAAAAAGAAAGGGAAGAAAGGCAAAGCCAAAGGCACCCCGAUUGUCGAUGGGCUUGCUCCAGAGGACAUGAGCAAGGAGCAGCUGUUUAUUUUUAGGUGAAGUUGAGUCCUCCCUCUUUCUUCCUUGCCUUUCUCCGGCCACACGCCCCUUUGCUGUGC